This 336-nucleotide unclassified non-coding RNA is filed under the name soil metagenome. RNAcentral's name for it is "partial contains 5.8S ribosomal RNA, internal transcribed spacer 2, and large subunit ribosomal RNA". The stretch from base 1 to 120 matches the Rfam family "5.8S ribosomal RNA", at positions 35 to 154 of the family's 154-position model. The record is from RNAcentral.
GAUGAAGAACGUAGCGAAAUGCGAUAAGUAAUGUGAAUUGCAGAAUUCAGUGAAUCAUCGAAUCUUUGAACGCACAUUGCGCCCGCCAGUAUUCUGGCGGGCAUGCCUGUUCGAGCGUCAUUUCAACCAUCAAGCCCCAGGCUUGUGUUGGGGACCUGCGGCUGCCGCAGGCCCUGAAAACCAGUGGCGGGCUCGCUGUCACACCGGGCGUAGUAGAUUUUAUCUCGCUCAGGGCGUGCUGCGGGUUCCGGCCGUUAAAAAGCCUUUUUUACCCAAGGUUGACCUCGGAUCAGGUAGGAAGACCCGCUGAACUUUAGCAUAUCAAUAAGCGGAGGA